Molecule: unclassified non-coding RNA, 328 nt
Organism: Erinaceus europaeus (western European hedgehog)
Lineage: Eukaryota; Metazoa; Chordata; Mammalia; Eulipotyphla; Erinaceidae
Gene: 7SK
Rfam family: 7SK RNA
About the family: 7SK was discovered as an abundant small nuclear RNA in the mid-70s but a possible function has only recently been suggested. Two independent studies have found that 7SK RNA binds the CDK9/cyclin T complex (known as elongation factor P-TEFb).
Source: Ensembl
GGAUGUGAGGGUGAUCUGGCUGUACAUCCGUCACUCCACUGAUGACUCAGGUUGAUUCAGAUGAUCUCGUUGCCUUGGCAGGUGUCCUCUUCCUCCCUGGUCGCUCUAUGUACAGCCCUACAGGAGCUGCCUGCUUGGUCAGAGAGCAAGACCUUGCCUGAAUAGAACCUCUAACCAAGCUCUUAAGAACUGAGUUUUCUCUUCCACACAGAUCUGCUUCUCAGUGAUGAUGACUGGAUUUGAAUAGCAUGCCUCACGGAUGAAAGAAAGCUUGAACAAAAGCUAUCAUAUUACUCAACAAAAAAUUACAGGUAAUUGUUUUCCAGUU